RNAcentral lists this ribosomal RNA (498 nucleotides) under uncultured bacterium. RNAcentral describes it as "partial 16S ribosomal RNA". It matches the Rfam family "Bacterial small subunit ribosomal RNA", at positions 899 to 1397 of the family's 1533-position model. The record is from RNAcentral.
ACUCAAAUGAAUUGACGGGGGCCCGCACAAGCGGUGGAGCAUGUGGUUUAAUUCGAUGCAACGCGAAGAACCUUACCUAGGCUUGACAUGCGCUGGACAGGUGUAGAAACACACCCUCCUUUCGGGGCCGGCGCACAGGUGCUGCAUGGCUGUCGUCAGCUCGUGUCGUGAGAUGUUGGGUUAAGUCCCGCAACGAGCGCAACCCUUGUCCCUAGUUGCUAACAAGUCAAGUUGAGCACUCUAGGGAGACUGCCGUCGAUAGGACGGAGGAAGGUGGGGAUGACGUCAAGUCCUCAUGGUCCUUACGCCUAGGGCUACACACGUGCUACAAUGGCCGGUACAAAGGGUUGCAAGACCGCGAGGUGGAGCCAAUCCCAAAAAGCCGGUCUCAGUUCGGAUUGCAGUCUGCAACUCGACUGCAUGAAGUCGGAAUCGCUAGUAAUCGCUGAUCAGCAGGCAGCGGUGAAUAUGUUCCCGGGCCUUGUACACACCGCCCGU